RNAcentral lists this ribosomal RNA (409 nucleotides) under bacterium. Its description in RNAcentral is "partial 16S ribosomal RNA". It matches the Rfam family "Bacterial small subunit ribosomal RNA", at positions 355 to 776 of the family's 1533-position model. The record is from RNAcentral.
UGGGGAAUAUUGCACAAUGGGCGAAAGCCUGAUGCAGCGACGCCGCGUGAGGGAUGACGGCCUUCGGGUUGUAAACCUCUUUCAGUAGGGACGAAGCGCAAGUGACGGUACCUGCAGAAGAAGCACCGGCUAACUCCGUGCCAGCAGCCGCGGUAAUACGUAGGGUGCGAGCGUUGUCCGGAAUUACUGGGCGUAAAGAGCUCGUAGGCGGUUUGUCACGUCGUCUGUGAAAUCCUAGGGCUUAACCCUGGACGUGCAGGCGAUACGGGCUGACUUGAGUACUACAGGGGAGACUGGAAUUUCUGGUGUAGCGGUGGAAUGCACAGAUAUCAGGAAGGAAACCGAUGGCGAAAGCAGGUCUCUGGGUAGUAACUGACGCUGAGGAGCGAAAGCAUGGGUAGCGAACAGG